UUUUUUUUUUUUUUUUUUUGGGUUGUAGAUUACAAACAAUGGACGCAAGUCUCCCACAAUGACAAGUGGUAAAACACCUAAGACAUUAGCAAAAGUAAGGGAACGGUUUUUUUGUUUGGUUUGGUUUUUGUUUCUUGGUGAAAGAUAAGCACGGACUUAAUUGCGGCAAUGCCCAAGCCACGUUGCCCAGAAAAAGAGAAAAGGCAAUGCAAGCACUCUCCGGAUGUAAUUUGGUCAGCCGCGGACGUGCGCAGUCAGCACGUCCGCGUCUGACACAUGCUCAGUUUGAAGUCAGCCGCGGACGUGCCCAAUCAACACGUCUGCGCUGACACCUGUUGCUCCCUGAAUUUUUUGCAGACAAGUUUUUGUUGGAAUUUUUAAUUAUGCGGACGUGUCCAGUCAGCACGACCGCUAUAGAAUGAGAAACACUCCCUGUCAGAGGUAUAUUUGGCAGAUUGGUUUUUUUUUAACAUAUAAUCUAAGAAAUUAGCCGAGGGGGGACAUGAGCUAUUCUUCUUCUUCAAACAGAGUCGAAGACUACCUAUAGAUUAUGAUCUUGAAUUCCCUGUUCCUAAAUUUGCAACAUAUUCUGAUUGAAAAUAUGCAAAUUAGAAUGUGUUUGAAAUUCUAUUUGUACUAGGGUAUGGACAAUCCAAAAAUUGACACAUUUUUUCAUUUAAAUCUAGGAAAUGUUAAUUACACUCUACUUUUUGUUAAUCGCGCUCUUAUCAGUUGUACUGCCAUAUAUUCUAAUAUAUGAAAAUUAUAUGAUAAAAAUAAUAGUGCGAGUGCGAUUAACAACCAAAGGGAGGGCAGGCGCGGUGAAAUUAACAUUUCCCUUUAAAUCUUGAAUAAUUUCACCAGCUAAUGUGAUUUCCGAUAGGAUGUUGCAAUUGCAUUACACUUUGGCGUGCACGGUGGUGCGCUAACUUUCUGACUGACUAUUGUUUGCCCCUGAUUUAACAAGUGUUUGUAAUCUCCUCGUUUUGCAAUCAAUUUUCAGGAUGACAGAGACGUUGAAGAUUCUGGAAUUGACAGCUGAAUUGCACGAGAGAAAGGAAAAGAUCCCGCAGCUAUUCAACAACAGCUAGAUACGGUUUUGAAGGACAUGGAAGAGUAUUCAGAACAUCUUUCUGUCCAGAAACAUCGAUGAGGGUCAACUUGCCCCCAGCAGAUGACCAUCAUAUACGUAUUUCCUUUAUCUCGAUGCCUCUCCCCUCUCUUUUAAUUUGCAACAAUUUCCUUAGCGUGGUUGAUUUUUCAAAGUUUUGGGAUCCUUAAUUAGGGGUGGGCACGGGUCGGGUACCCGUCCCUAACAUGAUUUGGUUGACCCGACCCUAAUAUAUCGGAUCAGCCAUCCCUAAAAAAAAUUAUUUUCAAUAAAAAAAAUUAUUUUCUACUUAAUAUCAACAUGUUUUUCAAUAAAAAAACAUGCUUUUCCAAUUAAUAUUGGUAGAGAUAUUGUAAUUAAAGUCCAUACAUCACCAUUUUUACACAUUUCAUCCAAUAAUCAAAUCGAUCUCAUAAAUUUAGUACAUAUUAGAAUAUCUAAUGGACAAAACGAAGUUUCAUAAUAAUUUUGAGUACAUCACUAUUUUCACACAUUUCAUACUUCUACAACACAAUAAACACAAGGAUAAUAAGUAUUUGGUAACUUCCCCAAGGAUAUUAUGGUACAAGACCGCAUCUCAAAUAAGUCAAUUGUGAAAUCAAGUUCGGAAAAGAAUUGAAUAGAACUAAUUAUUUUUGAAAAAAAUAUAACCAAAAUAAUGUUAAAAAUCUUCCCCAACUUCUUUACAUCUUUGGAAUAGACCUUAUGGUAUUAAGGUGAUGAAAAAGAAAAAUAAAUUUCUUACACUAAAUAAAAGAGACAAAUUUAAGAGAUAUAAUUGCAAAUGAAUGACACAAAUAUUUUAAUUAUCUAGCUAACAGAAAUUUGAGACUCCAAACAAAAAUCUUUGAUUGAAUUGAUGCAAGAUUUGCAGGAAAGAUCGAUGGAAGUAGAAUAAAAAUAAAAAAGAUGAAAGGGAUGAACAAUUUUUAUAACAGAGUUUCACAAUUUUUUUUUUCAUUUUGUUCAUGCUUCACCGAGAAUAUUCACUUUCUUCAAAAAAAUGAGAAGAGUAGAUCAUAUAGGAUUAGAAUAUGAGGCUGCGAGCCACUUCACUUGCACUUAGGAUUAAAAAUUACAAAAUUAUAAAAUGAUCCCUACUUUUUUAAUAUUUAUAAAAUAUACCCUGCGGGUCGGGUACCCGCGGGUUUUUAUUUUUCUGAUCCGUAUCCGUACCCGAUUUUUCGGGUACCCGACUCUCAUCUGCCCCGCUAAGAAACAUCGGAUCGGGUAUCCUAUUUUUCGGAUCGUAUCGGAUCGGGUUCAUCGGGUUUUCGGAUCGACGAAUUUUUUUGCCCACCCCUACCCUUUAUCAAGUUGUAGGUUGAUAAAACCGCCAGUUAACCAUCUGAAAUGUUUGUAAUGACAAUCUUAGCAAUAGUUGCUGAUUUGGAACGUGGAUCACUUUCUUCAUGGUGUGUUUAACAGUAACUGCAGUGCGAAUUUGGGUACGGAGAGUUGAGACACCGCCUAGUAGAGGGAAUGAGGAAUGGAUUGGGUGGUAUCGAAUCGGGGCGUAAAUCUCUCAUUUACACUCUCUUUUGAUACCAAAUUCGAGAUCCUCCCGUUUACUUGAAAAAAAAAUGCAAAAGAUUUCAUACCAAAUAUAGUAUACUAGCUCGUAGAUUUCAUUAUCAGUAGCUGACAAGUCAUUACUAAAUGCUAAGGAAUAAAGAUAGGGUUAAUUAAGAAUAAUUUAUCCAUAAAAGUCUUCUAGAAAGCAAUUUUCAUUUAAAGCUCGGUUUAGAAUUGGUGGUUGGUAGGUGUAGGGUUAAUUAAGAAUAAUUUAUCCAUAAAAGUAUUCUAGAAAGCGAUUUUCAUUUAAAAGCUCGGUUUGGAAUUGGUGGUGGGUAGGUUUUAUUCUCGUUUUGCUUUUGAAUUUCACAAAAAGUUGAUUAUGAGAAGUGAUUAUGGAGAACAAUCAGAAUUAACAAAAGUCACUCUUUAAUAGAUUUUGAAUUUUAGCUUUUUGAUUAUUAAAAAAUCUAUAAUUUAAAGACAAAAAAUAAAUAAGAAUAUCAAUAAAAAUUAAUUAUUCAAAAUUAGAAUCAAUUAAAAUAAUAACCAGACCUAUAAUUAUUCGGAGGAUCAAUAAGUUACACGCAUCACCAUCUAUCAGUAUCAAAAACUAAUCAAUAAAGAAAGAGACGUUCUACUUGAAAAAAUUUGUCCAUAAUUUUUAGAACUGCCCGUCUCUCCUACGAGUAAUUGGUAACAUUUUUACCAAUAAUUGGUCGUUGGAUUAGUCAAUGACCAGUAAAAAAAAAAAAAAAAAAGGAAAAGCAAAAAGAAGAUAACAAGAGAUGUCAAGUGCUACACUGAUAUUAUUCAUUUUCCAAAAUCAGUAGUGGCGCUUUUGUCUUGUUCUUGACAUUUUCGGUGCACGUUUGAAUGUAAAGAUCCUUAAAGCGCACAUGGAUGGGCGGGAUCUGCAUGUCAUUGGCUGGAUCACCUAUUCUGACUCCUAAACUUUUACUAGUCACCACUGCUACGUACUAGUGACACUGUAGACUGUGGACCAUUUGUAACUCCUACCCAAUUUCGAUAGGACUAGGAGGUAUAAUCCGCGCGGUGCGCGGAGGUAUAGAAAAAGAGAAGAUGCCCAAGACAAACAUAUGAUAUGGAAGGAAAAUAUCGGAGGAGGAUAUAAAGCAAAAGGCAGAAAAAAGGAUGAAAGGCGUAUUAACUUGCUAAAUUGAUCAUUUUCUACAUCGGAAAUAUCAAGGCAUGAUAAGCCAAAUCUAUAAUAAUAAAGCAUCGAAUUUGCCACUACUCAUAUUAGACUUUGUUAGAGCUACUAAUGACCGACAAAGUUGCAGCAAAUCACUAACAUCUCACGGCAGCCUUUAAUUCAUAAAGAAGGAGCUAUAAAUAUUUGAUACAAGGUAGUCUCCUUACUCCUUUGUAGAUGGGCCUCUAUAUCUUUUUACUGGACGGUGCAAUGAUGUACUUUCCUCUUAUUUUCUGUUGAUUCUUGUCCACACAUUUUUUUGGUAUUUCCAUGCAGAUGAAGCCAAAAACACAUUACCAAGGAAUAUUUAGACAAAAAGUUUGGCUCCUUUGGUGUUUGCAAAUCAUAUUCAUCCCAAAGGAACUGCAAUGACUAAUUAUUAGUUAAAAAGAUAGAGAGGACAUCAAAGUAACCAAAGAAACUUUUCAAACAUUCACUACUAAAGCUUGAUGAGUGCAGCAAGUAGGUUAACAUCAAUUUUGUGGCUAAACACCCAUUAGCAAAGCCUGAAUUGCUAAACAAAUGCAAUAACUUGUUGAACAUUAAACUUCUAGUGCUUUGAAUGGAGAAAAACGAGUAAAAGCAAACCAAGUUGUUUUGUCUUGUUUCAUUUCUUGGUUUAAUGAAGUGCAGAAUAAAAAAAGUAAAUGAACAAAAAAACACAGUACAAAAUCUGCUAUGUGGAGCAACAUGAGACCCAUAUUACAAGACUUGUCAAUUUCACAAAGUUGAAACCUCUUGAAUUCAACGGGAACAUAGACAAAGAUAACAAGAAACCCUUUCAUUCAAAGGAAUCUAGGCUCUAAAUUCUUCAAUUUAUCCAUGUCUUCUCUAAAACCUGACGCAGCAUGCUCUUGCAAAUACACAUAAUGCUUAAAACUAUCAUUUUUCCCUUCAUUUGCCGAAGAAUAGGGCAAAAGAAACAGGGCUCAACACUUCCAAGCAGUUUUUUUAACAAAGGAAAAACUGUAAUGCAACCUCCCCAGCCAAAGUCAACUAUGGACAGUUCAUUUAUAUGGCUAUAGUUCAUUUAUUGCAAAAAACAGCCAAGAAUUUGGCAGUUACAAAUAAUCAUCCACAAAACAAAUUGUCAUAGAACGGAAAAGCAUCAUGUUCCAUAAAUAAUUAGAUACAUAUACAAAACGUAAGCCAUGUACAAACUGAAAUGGCAAUUGAGCCAUAUCAAUUAGCAACCUAGCUACUACAAAAGUUUCUGCAGUUAAGUUCUUUAACAAUGAUAGAUACAUAUUAGACAUUAACUAAAAACGUCUAAUAAAAUUGUUAUCUAGAAAAAGGCUAAAAAAAAAAUAAAAGAUUACAAUAAUCAAUUUAACAUUGAGCUGCAUUCCUAAUCAGAAAACAUGAAUGUGUCACACAGGCAGGACAACAGAUUCUUUCCUCUUAGCCGCCCAGCGACACGAUCACUCAAUUCAACGUUCUGUAGCAAAACUCAAAAGCAUAGUCAUAAACUGCAUAAGUAUGAACAAACAAUACAUUGCUAGUCUGCACACACUACUUAUUCACAGUCAAAAUCCAAACCCUUAGCUGUCUUACAAUAAUCAAUUUAACAGUAAGCCGCAUCCCUAAUCAAACCAGAUGAAUGCCUAACACAAGAUCACUUAGUCUAACAUUUUACAGCGAUAAAAACAGAGACAUAAACAUAACUACAUAAGUAUAAAUAAUCAAACAAAAUACAAAAUACAAAAACAAUCCUAAUAUACCUCAUGUUUAACUUCAUAAACAUGAAAACCAGCCAAGCUAAUCAAUCGCCCGGCUUAGCUGCAAAAAGCCAGAACAUUCACAAAGCCUAAAUCAGGAAAAAUCUCUUUUAGAGAAGAAAAUAACUGUUAGUCUGCCUAAAAAGGAUUAGUCCCACAAUACAAACCAUAAAAACCAUUAACUCAUUUCAUUUUUUCGUAAUCCAAAUUCUAUUCCUUCAAUAAAAGAAGAGAUACACACAGAAUUUGAGGUUUACACAAAAUCAACAGACAACAAGCACAAAAUUUCCUUCACACAUCACAAUCUCAAACACCAAAAGCAACUCAAAGCAAUGACAAAAUUUAACCGAUUACAAUAGUCACAAGUACAAAAUUUCUGAUGGAAUCCACUCAUUAACUGCAAAUGGCUGAUCCUUCAAGCCUCAGAACCACUAAGCACCAAAGCAAAACAUAACAAAAAAAAAAGAAAAAGACAGCCUCACAUGCACAGAAAUGAGAAGAGAUGAGGAAACCAAGCAAAAAAUGCAAAAUCACCCAAUUAAAGAAUCUCCCCGGGGAAAAAAUACAACCAACAAGUCUAGAUCAAAGCAACAAUUCAAAUAUUAAGCACAUAAUAAAAAUCCCCUCUGAGCAUAACUCAUUCCUGGAAAAAUGUCAAGACAAUUAAUCAACAUACAAUUUUUGGUACAGAAGGCUCGAAAAUUUCACAAAUCUUGAGGGAAAAUAUGUCCACCAUGGGAGAAUACCAAGAAAAUUAAUGGUGACUAAGUUUUACCUUUUAACUUUAGCUGCCAGAUUUUCGCUAAAGCUAAACACUCAAUGGAAUUGCUAUCAAAUAUACUGAAAUUCUUAACAAAAUAGCAGUUUGAUGUCUAAACUCCCUUUUUCAGGUUUUAAUCUAACUAAUGAAGUUAGUGAAGUUGCUCAAAUCAUAUGCCAAAAUCAUGAAUAUCCACAAACUUAGUAUCCAAACAUUUCUUGAUUAAAACAACUAACCAGUAAACCACAAAUCCAUUGUCAAAGGCUGAAAAAUUAGGAACAAGCUCUCUUAUUUAUUACAAUAGAAACCAUGGCAUAAAGCAAUACAAAAGAUAUUUUUUAGCAUAAAGCACCGAAAAAGGAUCCGUGGUUAAGUUUGUCAAUAGAAACCAAACUUUUUUAUUUUAUUUUGUCAUUCUCCUACAGACAACUUGUUAAGUUUAUUCAGGCCUUUAGUUUCAUUAAGGCCCAUAAAAAUUACACAUAAUACAUUGACAGGUAACCAUAUCACCAUACACGUAGACCAGAUAGUAUUAACCACAAAUCCUAACUUCAUGGUAUCUAAGAUUUGACAGUACCCUUUUUCAUUUUGGGGCAGGAAGAUGAUAGAUGAUAGAUGAAAGGUUGUGUCUUACUGUACCCUUAUGUUUAGAGUCCAUCAAUUCUUAGUGUAAUACGUAAUAAGAAAACGUAGUACGAAGAAUGAAGAAUGCAGUACGAAGGUAAAGGAACUGACCACAUGAGACAUGGAGUAAUUGGUUAGAUGGCAUGUUUGAACAUGGACCGCUAAAAGCUUUCUCGCAUCCAAAAUCUUGUUCGUCGAUAUUCCCUGCAGUAAAAUGUCCUCCAAUUGGUGCACUUUGGUGGUGUUAACAGAAUUGGCAGAAGGCUAGAACAUGAACUUACCUGUAAGUGUCACUUGUGAAUCCUCAGGUAUAUCUACUAUUAUUUCUAUACCUGUAGGCAUUACUGCAAGAACGGCCAAAACAGUUGUAAUUAAUCAAGACUGAACUAACUAAUUGGAAGACCAAAAAAGUGCAAAAAACUGAGGCUUGUUUAACACACACACACAUCUAAAGUGCUUUCGACCAACAACAUGACAAUAGGUAAUAGUGCCACAAAGCAGGAGUAAAAGGGAACUAAACUCGGUGUAUAAUCAGUGCAAUUGAGAAGUUUUGGCUCAAAAAAUGUUUUGUACUUGAUGCAAUUGUUAUGAUAAUAUGAAUACUAUUCUGUCAUCAUGGUGUUUGGACUAAAACAUGGAAAAGUGACCUUUUACAAUGCUAAGAACCAAACAACACAAGAAAAUCUCAGAAUAGGAACUUGAACUGCUCUUGAUUCGUGAUGCAGCAAUAGAAAAAUGAAACAGAAUUAUUCCCGAUGCCACAGAAAAGCUUACCCACAACAUCUUCUCAAUUGAAGGUGAGCAGAGAAAAUGACAAGCUCUUGCUUUCUCCUCAUUUAUACAUUGCUCAACCUAACGCACAGCUCAGCACCCAGAAAAGAAAACAAAAUAAAAGGAAGUCAAUAAAGAAUGACAAAUAUAGCAAAACUGAAAGACAGAGACAAAUAGAAUUUGCAAGAAAAACAAGAACAAAAAAAUUACCUGACGGAAGAAACUCCUAUCAGACCUCGCACGUAAAAGGAUCUGCAGAAAAGAGGAGCUUGUUAAAAAAAAAUAAAAAAAAAUAAAAAGAAGAGGGAAAUGGAGGAAAUAUUGAAAUACCAAUCUAAAGCAUAUAUCUUCAAGUGCUAGUACCCAACAUCCAAUUCUUGCAUCAAUAAAGUGGAAAUCUUUGAAACCCCACCUCACGGGCUCAUCCAAGCUACAGAAAUAAAAAAUCUAAAAAUUAAAAAGAAUAACAUAAUCCUCAUAAACAACAAAAUAGUAGUAGCAAUCAGAAAAGGGAAAAAAGCAACAAAAAAAAAAGAUCCGACAAGAACAGAUAGUGUACUCGUUGUCUAUUUUCAAAAAAAAAAUGCAAGAUCUGACAAGAAGAGACGGUAAGAUCUGACGAGAACAAGAAUGCACGAAAAAAAAUGUGGAAGAAAAUGAUGAUUAAAGGAACAGAGAGAGAGAAACGAGGACGGUGGAAAGAUCUGGAGAAGAGACGGCGGAAGAAAGAAGCGGCCGAGAGAUUCUUGUGUUUUAUGCGGCAAACCCUAAGCCGAGAAAGAAAAUGGACACACGAAGCGCAUCGCGCGAAAAAGAUGGGAUGAUCCACGUGCGCGGCACGUGUGAGGACGACGAAAACCAUUCCAGGUCAUCAGAGGCCUUCGGCUCUUUAUCUACUUAUGUUGAGAAGAAAAUGAAAGAAAAUAAUAGAGGCUUCCUUCAUUGGAGAGUUUGAGGGGGAGAGAAAACUGAAAAGGAAAGAAAUAGGCAAAUCUUUAAACUAACCUCCAACAACCCCUUUUUUCUUAUUUCUUAAUAAAAUUCCCAACUAGGCCUUAGAACUAAAAGUAGAAAAAAAAAACGAAAGAAAAAUAGAUUGGCAAAUGCGUCAAUUGUUCAACUAGUAUUAGUGUCUGUUUGAUAACAUAAAAAAGUGUUGAAAUUGAAUUCAUUCAGACAUUCAGAUGUCUUGGGUGUUUGAUAAAUAAAAAUUUUUCUGCUGAACUUAUUAAGUGGUGCUAAAUUUGUAUGUAUUUUUUUCAACACAAGAAUCGCAACUGAAUGCUUAAUUUGAUAAGAAUCAAAAGAUUUAUUUCAAUUACUUUAUCUUAUCUACCAAAUCUAUCCUUGUUUGUUAAUUACAUUCAAAAUCAUUAUCUAAUUAAACAAUCUAAUAUUUUCCAUCCAAAAUCCUUAUCUAUUAAACAACCUGACAUUCUUUGUCUAAUGGCUUUCUACUUCUAUUUUCUCCAUAUUUAAUGACUUUUUUUACAAUUUCUCCAUGCUACUCACAUCUGUCUAUUCCUUAUUUUUUUCCAUCUUUCUACUCUUUCAUAAUUUUGUCAUUUUUUCCUUCCAAUUUUUUUUAUUGCUACCGUACUCACCGAUCUCAAAUUCAUUAUUUCCAAGGUAGCGUUAACAUUUUUCCAUUGAAGUAAUUAAAUUUCUAUAUAAUUUGGUGUGAAUUUAAAACUUGUUUAUUGCAGCUUCCUUUUGCUUAUAUUUGGACUUUUCUUGUCAAAUUCUGAUUUAAAAAUAUAUUUGCACCGAUAUUUGGACUUUUCCAUAAUAUAUUUUUUCUUUUAUAUUACUUUGAUUUAAAAAUAAAUAUUGUCAUUUUCAUACCUAACAAUUUUAAGCUAAUUAAAACAUAGGUUCUAUUUCCUUUUUGGAUUAAAAGAUAGAAGGACAAAAUUGUACAAUUUAGCUUAUUAAGCAUUAAGUUAUAAAUAUUUAUCAAAUAGUAUAAAUAUGUUCAGCAUUAAGAUUCAGAUAUUCAUAUAUCUCUUUUCAGUGCUUAAUAUUUAGCAAAUUAAUUGUUUCAGUAUUCAGAAUUCAGAUUCAGUUUUAUCAAAUGGAGCCUUAGUCUAUUAGAUUAAACCUUUAUCCAUUCUAUUCCGCCACGAAUCUCCCUAACCACAUCAGAGAAAAAGUAUAGGCUUCGUUUGAAUUUUUCAUUUUUUUAAAAAACAAGUUUUUUAUUUACAAUAAUACAGUUAUAUACAAAAAAAAAUUAUUCGAAAAAUAUCACAUUCAUACAAUAUAUUAAAAGUAAUUCUAAAUAUAUAAAAAAAUUAAAAAAUUAAAAUUUACACUAUUUUCUUCUUCCCAUCUAUCACCACCAUCGACUAUCACUACUAUCACCAUCCUCUCUUUCCUCCUCCUCCCUUUCUAUUCUCGCCCCCUCUUUCUCCUUCCUCUCUUUCCUCUUCCCCUACCUUUUCUCUCCCUUUCCCAUCACAUCCACUAUUUUCCUUCCCAAUCUAGCUACGACCAGGUUGCAACCAGAUGCCUCGAUUUGGUCCAAACUAAAUUAAGGAAGGGGAGGAGAUGUGCAGGAAAGGGGAAGGGGAGGACGAAGGAGGAGGGAGAAAAAGAAAGAUAGGGAAGAAGAAGAGGGAGGUGGUGGUGGUUACGAUGGGUGGGUGGUAGUAUUAAACUUUUUUUAAAAUAUUCUAAAAGUUUUUGAACUUUAAAAAUAUUUCAAAUUACAUCUCAAAAACACCUUAAAAAUCAUCACUAAAAACAUUCAAGAUAAAAGUUCUUUAUAUAUAUUGUUAUAAUAAAAUAUUUCAAAACAUUCUAAAAAACAACUAAUCCAAACUAUUUCCUCUUAACUCGGGGUUUUAUGACUUGCCCAUCUUUUUCUUGUCUUUCCCAACGCCCAAUCUAUGUGCCUAAGUGUGAAAGGAAGAAAAAGAUCUUACAAGCAACAGCCUGUUGCUGGCUGUUAUCAAUUAAUAAUAAUUAUCCACAGUAGCGGAAUCAAAUACUAACUCUACUAAUCGGGGCGAGAGGAAGAUGGACUAAAUGACACGAAGGAGGGAGUAUAAUUAAGAGUUUUUGGAUUGAAUAUCUCCCACUUACACUGAAAAGGAAAGGCCGUGAUACGGUGAAAGAAGCUGUAGAUCUCUCGCUGGAAAAAUGAAAAAAACAUAAAGUUUGAUCCAUUCUUAAAAGCGUGAAAUAUUUUUAGGCUUCCAGCACAAACGCUCCUCUUCUUCUCGUCACUGACCUGUCAACCCUUUCUAUUAAAUCUCCAUAUCUCAACCCAAUUUCUACUAGACCUGUUAAAACUCAACCCAACCCUCGAUAUUGCCGUUGCCGAGGCCGACGGUAUUCUUUUCUCCCUUUCUUUCUUGCAUGUAUUUAUUGUUAAGACUAUGUGCACAUAUUUAGAUGACUGGCGAAGGAACUUCUUGUUUCGCUCAGCUACUGACACUAACUGGUAUUAGUCUACUGUUGUGACAAUUGCAGAUUAUUUCUGAAAGCAUUUGUUGAUUUGGGAAAGUAAAACAGAAGAUGGCAAAUGUGGGAGAAGUUGAACACCCAUAUGUUCCAAGGGAUUUGAAGUUGCCUGGUUUUGUACCUGCGUUCCUCCCCCCUUCCACUAUUGUUGGUGCUUAUCUGCUUGCUUCCCUACUCGCUGUGUCCAUUGUCUGGAUCGGUUCUGGUAAUUGAUUGUUCUCUCACCAGUCGCCGUUGCUAUCUUUUUUAGUAGUAUCUCAUAUAUAGUUGUUCUACUUCUUCCAUUAGUUGAUUGUAUUCUUGUCUGCCUUGUAUUGCUUGUUAUAUUCGGGCAGUAAGGAAAAUCGGAAGUGAAGAUCAGUUAGCAACUUAUGAUAAUCCGAAUCUGAAGCAUCUAAACGAUUCAAAAUGAGUACUAAAUCCAUCUCCCCUUGUAUUGGGUUAUUCUGUUUUUGUUUUUUUCGUCUGCUUUGUCAAGCAUACUUGUUGACUGGUAAUUAAAAUUGCUGAAGUGACUUAAUUUGCUGAAAACAUGUGACAAGUUCUUUUCUAGAAGUCAAAGUUCAAAACUUUGAUAAGUUGAUGCAGUCUUUUACAUUCCUUCAUAUAUUUCUUGUUGCUGCAAGCCCACCAGUAGAAUUUAUGUGAGAUCUCUGUAGGUUAGGAUGUAGAAAUGUGGUCAUGUUGAUAAGAGGUUGCUUGCCUGGGUAGUCCAACAAUGAAAAGUCUUGCUUGUUCCAAUCUAAUGCAGUUAAUCUGUUUGCCACACAAUAUUUAUUUAUCUGAGAUCCUGAAUUAUAUCAUAAUUCAUAUGGUAAAUGAAUUGUUUUAAUCUCUUCGUGGGAGCCUUAAGGUGAAUCAAUGUAAAUUCACUCUCAACAAUGUCUUAUAUAUGUUAAUUGUGAGCAGGGACACAUUGACAUAAGUUCACCUACAGCAACAGUAUGUGCUCCCUUGCAAAGACUUUUUGGGGUUUGCAUAGCUCCCAACUAUCCUUGAAUGUAUUGGACUUCGCCUGAGUGGUCCAUAAUGUGACUUAGUAAAUGAAUUACUUGAAAUUCAUUUGAGAUUGGAAUUCUGAGAUUGAAACCAUCAUUGAAUGUAUGGGGUUUGCCUGAUUUGUCUAUAGUAUAACUCAAUUAUGAAUGAUUAAGAACUCACUUGAGACUGGAGUUCUGAAACUAAGCAAAAUAAUCACUAAUCCCCUUGUUUUUCACUUGAUUCUUUACAGCACGACUUACAUCACAGGUCAUAAGCCGUUACCCAGAUCUUUGCCUUUAUUAUCUAUACCUGUAUUGAAUAAAUUGUGAUUGCUUGAUUGAUGUCUGGAUAAUAAUCAAAUACUCUCCUCAAAUCUGAUUUUUUAAAUUGUUAUGAUUUCAUUCAACAAGUAGUUGAACCAUUUAAUCAUCUUUGCCUAAUUGCAAUUUCCUAUACAAGUCAAAGGUUUAGUUAUUUAUGUACUGUGUUGACCAUAGAGUAGGAAAUUGUUGGAUCACAUCCAUAUUGGGCUUUCUUGUUUUAGGAUUCUGCUUAUAAGGAGGUUUUUACAUCUAACUCCUAGCUAUCCUUUGCCAACGUGGAAAUUCAUUGAUCAUUGCUUUAAUAUUUUACCAUCCUCAAUUAAUGGUAGGACGGAUCCACAAGAUAUCAAAGCUUGAUAGAAUACUCAUGUGCUGGUGGAUCUUCACGGGGCUAACCCACAUGGUCCUUGAAGGUUAUUUUGUAUUUACUCCAGACUUUUACAAGAAGACAACCCCAGUUUACCUUGCUGAAGUCUGUAAGUUUUUAGCUUAAUCUGUUAUUCAAAUCGGAAUCCUUUCUUUGAGAUUGUAAGAGAGUAAUUGCUUUAAAAUGGAAAAUGGCAGGGAAGGAGUAUAGCAAAGGUGAUUCAAGAUAUGCUGCGCGUGACUCUGGAGUUGUUUCUAUUGAAGGAGUUACCGCAGUAUUAGAGGGUCCCUUUUGUCUUCUCACCCUGUAUGUAUGCUUGGGUUCACUUAGUAUCAUCCAAGAGGAUACAAUCAUUAGUCUAUAUUUCUAAAUUUUUUUAUUUUGUGCUUACGAAAAUCUCAUCUUCACGAAUGCUCUAUAUUUUCCAGCAUAACAUUGUGGUUUAAUUUUGGCAGGUUUGCUAUAGCUGCAAAAAAGUCAUACAGGUAUGUGAUUCAGCUGGCCAUUUCUUUGGGGCAGCUGUAUGGCACCAUUGUAUAUUUCUUGACAUCCUACUUGGAUGGGGAUAAUUUUGCUGCAAGCUGGUUUUACUAUUAUGCAUACUACGUCCUUGCAAAUGCCUUUUGGGUUUUAAUCCCAACAGCAAUAUCGGUCCACUGUUGGAAGAGGAUAUGUGAAGCAAUCAAGGAUCAGGACCUGAAAAAGACCAAAACCAGCUAAGGUUGGAAUAACAAUUUUCAACUCAAAGCAUCUAGAUCUUGAACCAUCUUUAAUCGAUUCUAUUUGAGAUGGACAUUCAAUGACAUCUUCAUGAAGGAUAUUUGCAAAAAAUGACAGAAAAAAUUGAAUGAAGUUGACAGUAUCUGUAAUGCAUUCAGUUUAUGAAAGCCAUUUGAUGGGUUCAGUUAUCACUGGCUAAUUUGUUUCUUCGUUCUCUUGUUUCUUUCUGUAACUUAUGAGUGUCUUGGUUAAUGGGCCUCGUAAAAGUCUUGGCAUUGGUUUUGUCAUUGGUUAAAUAGGCAGAACUUCAUCAUCUGUGAUUUACGCUUGAUUUGGUAGGAAACUAUUUGUGGAAGCCGAAUAUUUUGCACUUAACCAACACUCUAGUCUGAGCAACUGUUCUCUGGGAUUCAUGUUUAGAAGGGUAUAGUACUGCAAGCCCUUCAGCUUUUUGUACUCGCUAUUAUUACCAUACGUACCAAUGAAGUACCUGAUCCAGAUAUCAUUCUUGUAUUGCCUUCCAGUUUUAUCCUUCUGGUAAUUAGGAGGAUAAAAAAUGGAUGAAUCAUAUUUAUACAUUGAGGUGAAUGCCCGACAAUUUAUUUAAAUUUAAAUUUAAAAUUCAAAAUUUACUUAUAUAUUAUACAUCUAAUCCUCUUAUAAUAUACAUUAUCAAUGUAUAUAAAAUUAAAUUAUAAAAAAUCGGUUUCUCACUCUCAAAGACGUGUACCAGAACAGCAGGAAAAAGGAAUAUCAUACUUAGUGUGAUAUUUGGAAUUUGAUUAAAAAUAAUCACAAAAAAAAAUGCCGAGUCUCUUGAAUUCUUCAUAGGUUCCAUGAAGCUAAACAGUAAAUUCACGCUACGCAGUGUGAUUUUACAGUUUGACGAACGACAUUUAUUUCAAUACUACCAAAAAAAAAAAAAGAGCAACAGACACUUAACUCAGUAAGUACUAAACAAGUUACACAUCUUCCUAAUCCAGAGCUCUUAUUUCUGAACAAAAAAACAAACGGACAGACAUAUCAGGAGCUGCUAUUGGUGAUGGCAUCAGCAUCAACUUUACUGUGCGUUCUGCUGUUGACAUAGGUGCAAGAAUUUGUGCAUUACACCAAAUGCAUAGCCUAUGCGAUGCUUACACGUACAUCUGCUAUGGCAAGAGUGUUUCACCAGCUUAAUCUGGAUGACAUGAAUGAUAGAAAUUAACUAGCUCCCAAAGCCUGAAGCCCAGAACCGUCUACUCAAUAGUUGGCUUCCAUCCUUGAAUCUCUUGGUAUAUAUUAGCAUCCACCUUCAUUGUCUUGUCCACUAGGCGUUGAGAAGAGGUACCAACUUUGAAAACCAUAAUCCAUCAACGUCUAGGCAGCUCAGUCUUGUGGUUGCACUCCUCUUGGUCGUCAAGGCUGCAUUGGUGAUGCUUGGCAAAUGAUACGAACACAAAUACAUCAAUAGUGAAGAAUGAAUUUACUCUGAAAUGCUUACCUAGUGGUUUCACUUUCUUUCCUUCCCUGCAACCAAUCACUUGGAGGAUUAUACAUAGUUUCCCCCACAUCCAUAACAAUAACAGAUCCUGCAAGGGCACGUAUACCAAAGGAGAAAAAGUGACAGUGAAAUAAGACUUAAUUUGCUGUUUCUGAUAUCUCCCUGUCAGUUCUACCGAUUCAGUUAAACCCACCAAAGGGCUAACAAACUCACCAAUUCACCGUUCUAAUCUGCAGAGACAUACUAGAGAGUAGUCACAAGGCAAUCUACUACACCACAAGAAGACAAUUUCCAUCCAUCACUUCAAGUCGCCCAUUUAAGAUGCCUUUCAGCCUUCAAAAGAUUUACACUCGGGCCAAAACGGAAAGCCCAAAGCAUGACAAGAAUAUCAAAAAAUCAUGCCAGAGUAUAAUAUUAGUUGUUGCAUGAUAUUUAGUAAAUUUGGGUUUGAAAAGAGUACUGCUCCAAGAAAAUACAAGAAUCAAUUGCCAACAAACAAGAAAAUACUAUUGAAGGAAAAAACUUUAACGUAAAUAUACAAGUCGCAACACCCCCAAUCCCUCAAAGAAAACAAGAAACAUGAAUGAAUUUAUAUGCUAACCAGAGGAGGAUUUGCAAAAGAUUACACAAUGCAGAAAUGUCAUUGCUCAAACAAGCGCUAUGACUGCAAAUAAAGCAGAAAACCAGAUACAAAAAUGCCCCCAAAUCCCCCUUAUUUUACGUAUGUAUUUAAGCGGGUUGUAUAAGAAGAGAGGAAGAAUGAAAUGGAAAAGUUUUCUUGGUUAGCAAUACUUGCUCAGGUGCACUGAACACAGCAAAUCACUUCUUCCUCACCACCCAUACUUUCCUUGUGUUUGAGCUUUGGUGAGGAAGCCUCUGGCACGUCGCUCUGAAAGUUCCAUCUCUUUCUGCUUCAUAUCGAAGAACAAGGACCCAAUCUGAUGCUUCCUCUUGUGCAGCUUUGAAGGCUUUCCUUUGGUUGAAGUAGGCUGCAGCCAAAGAAAACAACUUGCAUCAGCAAAGGAUAGAGAAUUAAAGCGGAGAGAAGAUUCUAUGAUGCUAAGAAAGAAAGGAAAUGUAAAUGAAAAUAGCUUCUGACUCCUACAGCUGGUUUCACAAGAACAUGUAGCUUCUCAAUCUCACAAUACAACCUUGGAGAUAAUUCUGGAUGUUACACUCAUGAAAAUAUAUCAAUAAUCCCCCCCCCCCCAAAAAACAAAAAGGGCAAAAAAAACACAAAAAAUCAGAAUGGGACCUUUUCUCAAGUAUUACAUGAACUUACAAAUUGUAGAGUCAAGUUACUACCUCCAGCUUCAUACAAUUAUACACAAGUAAUAUGCGACAAAAUUAUGUCUCUUUCAACCAAAAAACCAAAACACUAUAAUGGACAGACCGAUUAUACACCACAUGCAUUUCAUAUUAAAGAAGACACUACGUGUGCUUUGUAAAGGGCGAAAAAGAAGAGACAUGUCAACAAGCCAGAAUCACAAAAUUAUUCAAACGACUUGAUUAUAGUGCAGAAGUACAACUUCUAUUUACCUGGUAAGCUGGCCCAAAAGCAAUUCCAGUUAAUUUGACCUGGUCCUCCCUAGGCCGAUCCUUCAUCAACUCAUCCUGUUUCACCUCAACUAUUUCCUCGGGUGCAUUAUUCCUGCCUCUCUUACCAGACACUCUCCAUGCAUUCUCAGCAAAUCCAGACACCUCUGGCCCAACAGCUGCAGUAGGAACGUCAGCCCAGUUAUUCUCGUACUGCCCAUAAUUCGCAUAACUGCCAUAAUCACCAUUGUAAUUCACGGAAUCCCCAUUUCCUCCAUCCCAGUUCUGAUAAUCACCUGCAACACCACUACCACCAUUAUUUUCGUAGGCACCAUAACCAGCAUGAUUGGCAUAAUUCUCACUCCCGUGACCCCAACUCGAAUAAUCUCCGCCUCCAUUUGCAUAUCCUGACGAGUUACUAAGAUCUCCACCUGAGCUCAUCGACAUCUGAUCGUUACUUGAUUGGCCCUCAUAAUAGCCUAUACUGCUAGUACUAACACCAGCUUCACUCCCACUAGCAGCAUUCACCACUUUUGAGUCCUUCAAGCCCGGCACGUCAGCGUCAAUGGUUGACCUCCUACCCGACCCUGAAGCCGAAGGAAGAGCACCCAAAGUGGCAGAGUGUCUGGGCGCGGGGAUACUCGAUAGAAAAGACUUGACUGAAGCAGUCUGGACUACCGGUUGUUUCUUUUGCUCCUGCUCCUCGUCGUCAUCAUCGUCUUCAUCAUCAUCUUCAUUGCCGACAUUAGUGGAUGAAUAUACGGGAGGCGGUUUAAAUUGAACCACCCUCUUUCCAGCAGAUUGUGCAGGAGGCGGAGCUCGAGCAUCAGGAUUGAGGGUUUUGGUGGGCUGCGGAAGAGAAGAGAAAAGAGAUGACGUGGAAGAUGAUUUGGGUUGAGGAAGCGAAGCGAACAAAGAUGACGAUGGUUUUGGAAGCGAUGCCAAAUGUCCCGAACUUUCCGGAGUUAUUAGCAAUUGCUGCCCAUCCUCCUCUUCUUGAAGUACAUUAGAUUUAUGUGGAUUCAGGGUUGAGGAAGACGACGAGACAGGGGGCUUUGGAGGGUGAGAUUGGGGUGGGGGAAGUGGAAAGGAGAUGGAUGACGAAGAAGAAGAUGAUGAAGAUUUUGGGGGCGGCAGCGAGGAGAGGAAUCCAGCGGAUUUGGGAUUUGAGAGCUGUGGUUUAUCUUCUUGUUCUUCAUCGGAAGAGGCGUAGCUCGCUAGCAAAGAGUCCAUGACCAGAAGCAAAAGGGGAGCAAAGCCCUAAUUUCAGAACAGGGAGAGUAAAAAGGAUCUUCCUUUCUUUUUUUUGGGGGGGAAAGUGGAGGGGGGUAAGGGUGACGGGUUCCGACUAAUGAACCGAGGUGGAAUUAAUGACGGCGACGGCCUUAACCCGACCCAACUGAGUCAAACAGUAAUCAACAAUGGCUUUAUCUUUUUGCGCCUGUGGGGCAAAACUGCAAAAGUAGGUAGGAAACCAGGGGCUUAGAAAUAACACCUACAAGAUUUGGGCAAAUUUUGGAAAAAAAAAAGAUUUGGACCUAGAGAGAUUCAAUAAUUAUAAAUUAGAAUUUUACCCGUGCCUUAACACGCUCUCUUUUCUUAUUUAUUAUGAAUUUAUACAAAUAUAAAUAAUUUAAAUAUGAAAAUUAAUAACAAUCCUGUGUGCCCACUCUUGUUAACUUUGAAAGAUUAAUGUAUUCUAAAUGUUCAAUUAUUUAUUAAUUUUUUAAAAAUUAUUUACAUACUUUCACAAUAAUAUGAUAGUAUAUAUCAAAUAAUAUAUCUCAUAUCAAAAACUCGGUAGAUAUUCUUUUAUUAUAAAUAUUCUUUUAGAUAAUUUAAAUUUUUAUAAUGGCCAUAAAUCUAGAACUAUAUAUUCACAUUUAAUUAAGUAAAAAAGAUCCAGCAAUCCAGUUUUUUUUUCAUAAAUAAAUAUUUAGUUUCCAAUAAUAUUGGUAAAUAUGUCGAUGUAACAGUUAAUUCUCUUUUUUUGUACUAAAUUAAUUAAAAAUUAAGGGAAGAGAUGAUAAAUAAUUUGUAUACAAAUCAACGAUAUGGUGGUGAAAGGAAAUAAUUUAUGGAAUAUGUAAGAUUUUAAGAAUUGUGAUUUGAAAAAGGUUUUACUAUAAUUCUAUGUAAUAAUUUCAUAGAAAACAUUAAGUUAAAAUUAGUUAUUUUUUAAAGUUAUUUUAGAUAUCAUAAAGAUAAAAUUAGUUACUUUAAAAUUAGGGAUAGUUUUUAAACAUAUAAUAUAAUAUUCAAUAUCGGUAAAAUCCGAAUGACCCAUAACCCAUUAUUUUUCUUCAAUUAGACAUGCCACAUAAGAAUGAGAAACAACUCUAAUUAAAAUAGUUAUUUUCACACACACACACACACACACACACACACACACACACACACACACAUAUAUAGAUUACAUUUGUUCAAAAAGUAAAUUAAUCCUUGUGUUGCAGACAAAUGAUUACCCUCGAAGGAUUAAUACUAAUUCGACGUACAAAAUUGGAUGUUCAUCUGUAGUUACGGUACAUGCUUUUAUUUUUUUAUUUCUCUGUAAUUAUUUUUUUUAUUUCUAUGUAAGUGUUUGGACAGAGUAUUUUUCAAAAUAUUAUUUAAAAUAAUUACUAUAACAUUUUUUUUUUUUGUGAUGUAAUGUACGCAAGAUAAAAAAAUGGUUGGACAUAUAAAAAAUUUGAUUAGAAUAUAUAUUCUUAUGAUACAAGUGAUAUGUUAUUUGAAAAAAUUUAGCUAUCCAAACUACAUCGAUACUAAAGAAAUUUAAGUUUAAUGACAAAGAAAUAUGUUUCUUUUCUAAAUCACUGUUUUACAACAUAUGGAAAUUGCUGUUUUGCUAUCAAUGACACCACCAUCUACCGCAAUGAAUCAGCAAUCUUGUCCAUUAACGUAUAAGAUUUGACUGUUUUAUGGUUCCUCAUGGAAAUGGAUAAUUUUGUCUUCAAUUUCUUUAGUUUGCUUUCAAGUGACUUUUAUCUGAUUUCUGUAAAUCCUUUCGUUUCCUUGAAAAUUCCCACCAUCCCAAUAUACUGCACAUCCUUCGGAAGGGAACUCCAGAUUUCAUAAUCAUUGUGAUGUCUCCUCCUUGAACCUAUUGAGCAAGAAAAUAACAUAUGAAUAAUAGGACUGCAAAGUUGUCUGAAGACAGAGACGUACUACUUAGCUAAUCCGCUCACAUCACAUCACAGCGAGAUUUCACGCCCUGGUAACUGGUAAGACUUAGGAUCCGAGAUCUCCUCCCCAAACUCUUUUUCUUUUUGCUAUGAGACCAAAACCUUACCGGUAUGUAUCAAAAGAACAAGGCAUUGUCAGGCCAAAACCAGCCAGUAAUACUGAUGCAUGGUUGACGGAUCAGCAAAAGAAAGCACGACACGAAGUCACAAGUAGAUUCAUUACUGUAUGGCAAAUGGAGCUCUCCAAGUCGAGGCCCUAAGAAAUGCUAUACCAGUUGUUACAAACCCUAAGUGUUAUGCAAGAAAAACAGGGCAUGCUCAUCAUUUCAGCAGCAAAUGAAGGUAACUUUGUUUUCCACAUUUUAUUCAAAUGCGUAAACCAUGAACAGCCCAUUUCUUAUUUUAGCAGCAAAAGCAUACUUCUCAUUUCCAAAGCAUGAUAACUAACGCACAAUGUCCAUAUGAAUGCUGAUGCGCCAUGCUCUAAAGAUAUACCAUAUCCUGGAUGACUUCAAGUGUCUGUAUAGAGUACCUUAGCAUUUUCUGGUUACAGUUACUGAAUUGCUUAAAACCAAGCAUUUCAAGAUUUCUCUCUCUCAUUCUCAUAAGAAAUAAAAAGAGAUGGAUGGUUGAAGAUCUCAAUGUUAAGUCACUGUUAACAUGCGAAACAGCAAUCUUGCAACUAAACGUGUAUGUCAAACAACACACUAUUGGAAGCAAAAAUUGACCCAAAAAAAAAAUGCAAUCAACAAUACCAUCAGAAGAUAACUGUUCACAACAGUUGUAGAAAGCAGCAUCCAAGAUUUUAGUAUUUCAUAGUUAAAUAUGACCAGAUUAGAGUAGAUCUCUAAUCUUACUAUAAGACUUGCAAGGCAACUGUGUGAAUCACAACCAGCUCCUGGGAAAUAAAGGGAAGAAUAACUGAUCAAAAGAGAUUUGUCACAGAUAAUGUAGAUUCCUUCCCCAGAUGUAUAAUUUCAUGUAAGACAUCCGAAUCCAAUUUCACCUGAGGAAUACUCAUUGAGUAAGGUAGAAAUAAUAAAUUCGGAAAAUACAUGGUGAAGCAUUGGAUAUCUUCAUAGGAAGCACCAACUUUCUUGCAUCUAUUGGACAGAUUGCAGAUAAAAUUAGUAAAGCAACCAGAUCACUGCCCAUCCUUCUUUCAAAUUACGGUAGCUUAAAUUUUCAAAUGCUCCUCAAUCCUUCGUCAGCAAACAAUUGAAGUAGAUCAAAAUUUCAUCUAAAUAAAGGUGAUUUGUUUCGCAUAAAGUAACCGUAAGUGUCUGCAAUCAUUUGCUCUUGAAAUGUAGGACAGGAUAGAGCUUAAGUUUGUUCUCCCUUAACAUACUUGAGUUCAGAUGCACCAAAGCUUCAUGCUUUCACUGAAGAAUCACCUUUCUUUGACUUCAAAGACUGCAGCAUGUGAUAUGAUAAACUCGGCUGUUGGUAUAUCUAAAUUCAACCAUAAAACAGAUGGCCUUUGCAAAAGACCUAAUAGGUUGGAUAAAGAUGCUGGUUUUCUAUCGUGUCAAAGCCUAAUGUAGCCAAAAGAAAAGAGUAAGAAUUCUCACAGGAAACUAUCAUUUGCAGUCUACUCCUAAUUUGUGACAAUGCUGAAGUUUUACGCGAGCUGUUAAAGUUUCCACAAAAACUAAUUUAAACCUCAUAAGUAGUAAUCAUCCUCCUCUUUGUUCCCGAAUUUAUUCCUGUCCCAAGUGAAUGAACUCCAAGAAAAUCUAGGUAUGAAUCACAAACUUGAUUUGGCCAAAACAAUGCAAUCCACAAUGUAGAAAAGAUAAUAACUUGAUAAUUAGGCUCCAAAUCUAAAUGGUUUGACAGAAAAGUGAUGCAACCUCAACUCUACCAAAAACAUUGAAAGAACAAAACUUUUUUCUAAUUGCACUGGAAAUAACAGAUUACCUCAAGCUUAAACACAUCGAAGCAUCCGAAUAGUACACAAUAACCAGAAAAUACAAUAAAGUCAUAAACUUGGAGAUAAAAAAAAAAGACAGGUCACUAGUUUAAGCUAAUGCAGAAAAGCGUACAGAGCAGUUGAAAUGUAAACCAACAGAGCAGACGACACCAGAACAAUCAAAGCAGUAACAGCAUGAACUGUAGAUUUACUCCCACAAGACAACAUCCCCAGCCUUAUUUCAAUCACAUUCACCAUGGAAAGCAUCAAGAACAAGCACCCCAUUACUGAUCCAAUUGCAGAGCCCAACAUCCCAAAUCUCAGGACCCUCAAACUGAUGUGGGCUCUAAAGGCCUCAUCAACAUCUUUACUAUUCAAAAGAUUGAUGGCUAGCUUGAGGCCUUGAGCUAUGAGGGAUGAGAAGAGGAAGAAACUAAAGGACACGACCUCAAAUACAAGGAGUUUCUUGGCCACAUCGAUGCCGGCAUCACAAGCUGAAUUUUCAAGGCUGUGCUGGUGUGGGGUGGUUAAAGAUAGCCCCACAAAUACUGCUAUUGUGAAGAGUGAAUUAACAUUGACUAGGCCAUCAAGGGCUGUCACGUGGACACUGGUGGUGGAGGAGGAGGCGUAGCUGGAGGUGGGGUCUGAGGUGGUUCUUCUGGGUUCUUGAGAGUAAUAGUCUUUCGGAUAUGUCUCAGAUCUGUCAAAAUCAUGUAAAGAUACCAAAUUUAAAAUUUAUAACCACAUCAGAAGCUACAAUACUCGAAUUUAACAAAGUAGCUUGUGAAUGCAAAAAGAUGAUCUUUCAAAAAAAAAAAGGGCAAAAAGAUGAUGGGGAAAACCGAGAAGGAUAUUACUCUUCCAUGAUCGAGUUGCUGUAUUGGACUCCUUGAUGCUCCUAAAAGCAAAUGAUAAAAAGUUUGUAUCGAAUGAGGUUAGGUCUACUCUUGAAGUUGCUUGGCGGUUUUGCGAAUGUGUUUCCCGGAGGGGAAGGGAAAGUAGCAGACGGAACUGGAGAGCUGAGGGGACAAAGAUACUUUGCUGUAUUCUUUUCGACGUUUGGUUUUUAUGGUUUUGGGCGCGUAUUCGCGUUAGCUAUCCGUAAAGAGCACGUCUUCUUGUAAAGGCUGUAAUAAUUUCAGCAGAAGAUCUCCCAUUUCACAAUAUUUAUUAGGGUUAAUUCCACUUUAUCCUCCCAAACUUUGGAUAAUUAUCCACCUCAGUCCCUAAACUUUAAAAUGGGACACUUAAGUCCCUAAAUUUAUAAAUACCUCAUACUUAAGUCCCUAAACUUAUAAAAUGGAACACUUAAAUCCUUAAACCCUUAUAAAAUGGGACACUUCAAUCACCAACGGCAUUCAUAAUUUGUUAACAAUUUUCCUUAAGUGAGAGGUAUUUAUACAUUUAGGGACUUAAGUGUCCAAUUUUAAAGUUUAGGGACUGAAGUGAGUAAUCGUCCAAAAUUUGGGGGGACAAAGUGGUAUUAACCCUAUUUAUUAAUGAUACUUGAUAUAUACUUUUUUGACUGACGAUACCAAUAAGUAAUAACAGUUACUAGUACUAUGAGAGAGAGUAAAGUGUUGAUUUUUGUACAAGAAAUGAAAAUUUGUUUCAAAGGAUGUUCUAUUUUUAUCUUAAGGAUUAGUAGAUUUUAGGUUUUCGAGAUUUUCUUUUUGAAUGUCUAGUUAAUAUAAUAAUUUCUCUAGCCUUAGACAUGACUCAUGUCUCUUUGUGUUUCAUGUUCAUGUUCAUGUUGACGUUCUAGUUUAGAUAAAUAAAUACCGGGAAAAUUUUAAAAAAAAAUCAGUUAGAAUUGGUAAGACAAUUAGUAGUGUUUUACGUAAUUUCUAAAAUUACAAUGAAAAAUAAAAACUAACAAGUUAGAGUCGUUGGGAAGGGAGGAGCCGAAAUUAGAAGUAACUAGUAGUUGCAUGUGGUUGAAAUGGAAAAGCUUUAAAACUUGUUCCAUGUAUAGAACAAUUUCCAAACAAAUAAAGAAGUUACCCUUCAAACGAGGUAAAAUUUACGUCUAUCACAAUUUGAUCCAAUUAAAGCACUACUUAGUAGUGCCUUCAAGCAAGGGAAAAGGAAAAAAAAAAAAGGAAGUUUCAAUUAAUUCCAGUCCGCACAAUUUGCCGAAGUCCACAAACUUAACGAUUGUUUGGAUUGCAUUUUUCUAGAUUUUUUGUAGAAAAAUACUAUAGGGAUUUGAUAUAUGUAAGGUAAAAAGGUGAUUAAGAAAUGUGUUCCCGGAAACGUAGCAAUUUUUCUUUAGAAAAUUGCUGUCCAAACAAGGCCUUAGGCAACUAAUUACUCCAUCUUCAAAUGACACUGAAGGGUGAAGAGCUAAAGCUUGCUGACUAAUUGAAACCUAAACCAAAAUCCCAGGUACCACCGCAGUAAUAAAAAAUGCACACUGCUUGGAACUGUCAAUCGACUCCGACAAGACAAAGAUCCACAUCCACUAUAGGGAGCAUCAAGAACCCGCACAGCGCACCCGAUUAGAGACCCAACUGCUGAUGCCAACAUCCCAUGUCUCAUAUAGAUUCUCAAGGCUCAUCUAUAUCAUUGCUGUAUAGAAGAUACAUGGCCAGAUUCAGGCCUUGAGCUACGAGGAUGAAGAAGAGGAAGAAGCCGAAGGAGAUUACUUUAUCUAUAUCUACGUCAACGUCGGCAUCGCAAGCCGAACCCCCCAAGACUCUGCUGGCCGGCGGCGGCCUAAGAUAGCGCACAACACUGCAACCACGAAGAUGUAGUUGACAUUUAUUAUGCCAUCAAGGGCUGUCACUUGGAUGCUGCUGGUGCUGCAGGAUGACCUGGAGGAUGAAAGGGAAGAGGUGGCAGAUCCUCUGUUUGCAUCAUUUCCGUGAAGCAAGAAAACAAUCGCCUAAUAGCAUAUUACAGAAUCAGCUGGGCCAUUAGCAGCAUCCUAAACCGUGAGUAUGUCUGCUGUAAGACAAACUGUCCAGCAAAAGACGGAAAGGGAGAAUGCCGUCGCGGUUCCAUGAGUUCAUUACUGCUUCUUGAUUGGUGGAAAGUAAAUGGGAAGUCUAUACUAAUUCAUUGCAGCUGUGCUUGUUACGGUUGAUUUGUUGAACUUCAUUUAAAUCUGUCUCUAGACUGAAAGUUAAGUGAUGAAAGUUGGAAGAGGGUGAAUUCGUGACGAACGGUGUUUUUGUGUGAAGAUAUAUUGGAAAACCUUGACCCUGGAAAAUUCAGUAUGGUUGAUGUGUUAUAGAAACAGCAGUUAAGAUGCGAUGAUGUCCACGUCUGUGCCUCUGAAACCCUUGUAACCAAUAAAAUCGUGGGAACAACAGGUUCUGACCAAAAAUGAUUUUUUGUGAAAUCGCUUAAGCACUCCUGUAAGGAAAUUUUCUACCCAUGUUUCGUUCUGCCUCUAGGACACAAAUGUAAUAUGACAAACUCUUUCUUAUACACGAGAAUAUCAAGUUAGGCAUUAAUAGGAUUCAAGCAACAGAAAAAGGCAAAGAAAAGCAAAGAAAAGACAAAAAAAAAAAGAAGAAGAAGAGGACGAGAGAGAGCAUGUAUGAUAUAUCAUAUAUACAUAAACUGGAAUUAUAACAUCAAAAUAGAUGAAAAAUUGACUGCAGCUUACCGAGGCAGGCAAGUAUUGGUGUAGAUUCCGAGUUGUAUUAUCAUUCAAUCUUCCAUGUCUAACUCAAAAGUAACAAAUAUUCAUUUUUGUGGUUUAACUAGCAUAAAGGUUGUGAUAUUGCCAAUAUCCAAACCUAUUAGCUUGCAGUUUACUACAAUGCUGCACCUCGUUUGCAGCCCAUAUGACAGACGAUAGAUAUCUUCGCAACUCCCAAACACAAGCAAAAUACCUGGCAAUAGUACCCCCAAAAAAAAUUAGCAAAGAAGGGAAAAGGAAGAUUAAAAAUGGAAACAAAGGUCCAGUAUGCAUUAUCAUAAAAUCAAUAAUCGAAUGCUUAAUGGACCAAGCAACAAACAGAUAAGCAUCCAAACUCUUACGACAGGUUACAUUAGCUGUAAUGGAACUGCAUCAUCUUCUUCCACCUCCCUCACAUCCUCAAUUACUCCUCAAGUACAUCUAGUCACGUGGCCAAUGAUGUGCUACUAAUCAUCCAAGAGGGUGGCUAGAAGGUUUUAACUGAAACAGAAAGAGACAGAUACAACCACCAAGUCUACAAGUGUGACCAGAAAAUUUCCCUCUCCUUUCUUUUUCAUUUUUUGUCACCAAUAAUCACCACAAGAACAGAUACCAUUUUCAAAAUGGUGAAACCUAUUGCGAUCUCUCAAGACAAUAUUUCUCCCAGUUAUUUCUGUAAUGAGCUUGAUAGCAGAAUGGCAGUCACUGCAAACCCUCAAAUUUUUUACAACCCUUAUUGUGGUAUGUGGCUUGGUGGAAAUCAAUCCAUAGCAUAUUGCAAGCCUCUCGCUGUGUAUGGCUAAAGCCCACUUUUUCUCUUGAUCCCCAAUAUCCUGUGAAAUCACCUCUGUAUCUGGAGAAUAACCCUUUAACCUCAACAUCUGGUUCAAGUCCUCAAGUUUUUUGUAGAUUUCUUCCCUUUUCGGGUGUCUAGUGUCUCCCAGAAGGAACUCAUGAAUCUCAUUUUCCACUUCAAUAGAACUGCAACCUGGUUCCUUUCGUACACCUCCAUCCUGCAACUUUACCCUUGCUUGUGCCGCUGCUUCCCAUUUUCCCUGAGCGGCAUAGAAAUUGGAGAGAAGAAUAAAGGUAGCUGAAUCGGCAUCUCCAAUGUCAACUAGAACUUGUGCAACUCUUUCUCCUAUAUCAAAAUGCUUAUGAAUUCUGCAAGCGCUCAACAGUGAUCCCCAUAUUAUAUGGUCUGAGGUUAUUUUCAUACUCCAGAUGAACUUGUAAGCAUCCUCGAGAUGACCAACUCGGCCAAGAAGAUCGACCAUGCAUCCACAGUGCUCAAUUUCGGGUUCAAUUCCGUGUUUUGUUUCCAUGCUGUCAAAGAUGUCAAAUGCCAAAUCCACCAAACCACCAUGACUACAUGCAGUCAAAACACCAAUGAAGGUAAUGUUGGUUGGUCUGAUCCCUUUGGUUAUCAUUCCUUGAAACAUCUCAACAGCCUUUCCACUUUUCCCAUUCAACGCACACCCCAUAAUCAAUGAAUUGUAAGUGGUGACAUCUCUUUCUCGCAAAACAUUGAAGAUUCUCUCAGCUUCAUCAAUAUCCCCACACCGUGAAUACAUGGUGAUCAAAGCCGAGCCAACUAAAUGAUUAACAUCAAUAUCAUGCAUCUCCAGGUAAGAAUGAACCCAUUUACCAAGUUCUAAUGCUCCCAACUGUGCGCAUGCAGAUAAGAUGCAAACACAGGUAACUUCAUUUGGUCUCACACCCUCCCUCUGCAUACGCCUGAAAAACUUCAAAGCCUUGCUCAUUUCCCCAUUCCUUACCAAUCCAUCGAUUAUUGCAGUCCAACAAACCGCGUCCUUAAUCCUCACCAAAUUAAAAACAUCAACCGCCUUCUCGGCCAAUCCAUGAUCGCUAUAACACGAAAUCAUUACAGUCGCGGCGACCACAUCUCUCUCAGGCAUUUCACCAAACACCCUCUUCGCAUCUUGAAAUUCGCGGCAUUUCCCAUAAAGUUCUAUUAACCUUAACUUGACAGAGCGGUUUGAGCACAACCCAAGUUUGGUAGCCUGGCCGUGAAUCUCCCUACCAAAUUUCAAUUCCAUUUGAAACCCGCAUGCCUUGAGUACGGAACUGAUUACAUAGUUGUCCGGUAAAAUGAGAUCCUCAACCAUUUGACAGUAAAUUCUAAUGCUGUCAAGAUAUAAUCCAGAUAACACGACGCCAUCAAUGAGGACAGUGUAAAGAUAGACGUUGGGUUCCCGGAUAUGGUGGAAAAUCUCGAAAGCAUAGUUAAUUGAAUUGGUUUUGGAACACAUGCGAAGCAGCUCGAAUACGAUAAAGGGGUCAUUCUGGUGGCCAUUUUUAAGGAUAUUAGCGUGGAUUGGAGGAAUUUCUUUGAAAGUUCUGCAUUUCCGUAACAAAGAUAUGCUACUAAUGUUCUUACUGGCAUUAUCCUGGGAAUCAUUAGAAAGGGUGUUUGAGUAUGGCGGGGCAGGGAAGGUUAGCGCGCUCGCUUGCAGCGUUAAACAACUCAUUACCCAAAGGAUGCAACUUCUCCUUUAUUCCCAAAUUUGAACCAUAAUAAGAGUAAUACUCGUGCUAUCUUGAGGAAAUGGGAAAGGGGACAAAUAAAUUAGAAGAUGAAAUUUUUGUUAAAGGUAUAGUUCGGAAAGCAUGAAUAACGUAAUGACCAAAUCAUCCUUCCGGCUGUAACUCGUAGAAAAGUUGCAACCAUAAAAAACAAGGGAAGGGUGCCGAUUUUACCAGUACUCGUCUCUCCAGAGAGUCCUGUAUCCAUCAAAUGGCAAUCGCUUUCGCUUUCCGUCGUCGCCCAAAACUUUUCUACCUCUUCAAGCAAAUUUCCAUUAUCUCCUCCUUCAUAUCCAUUGACUUCCACCCGUACUUACCUCCACAACUUAUACCUUCUGUUUCUAGCAAUAUGCAGCAGCAGCAUACCACCACUUGUACAAAUCUUCCUCAACCCAAAGCCGUCAGCAUGCUAUGCUAGUCAGUAAUUCAUUCUUGCAUUCACUUGUUAUGAUUAAUCACAUCACUCGUAUGGUCUUAUGCAUGGUUGUUUGCUGUGUUCUGAAAUCACAGAUUUUGUCAUGACAAUUUCCCUUUUUUUUUUCUUGGGUUAUUGGUCAAGGUUUUGAUUAGAUAGCUGGAAGGAUGGUGGAUACAAAGAGGCGGAGAUCAUUAAUGAUUUGCAGCUGCCUUACUUCAGCCUUUAUUCUUUCUGCAGUUCUUCUUGUUGGGAGCGCGUUGCUUCUCACAAAUUAUAAUCAUAAACAAGUCAGUUUUUGAUACUAUUAUUCGCUGUAUUUGUAUUUCAUGGUAUAUGAGAAUGAUUUUAUCAAGAAAGUCACCAAUUUUUGCGGCUUUCCGCUGAGCAGAGUCAUGUUGGAUUGCAAACUAUUGGUGUUGUCAAUACUACAACCUUUCAAACCCCCUGUGAGGUUUGUGAAGAAUUUUCCUCCUCAAUCUUCGCGCCUCUUAGGGAAAAAGGAACUAUUAUUUUUUGUUGCUUUUUCUUAAUUGGUUUUCUUGCGAAUGUGGAUGUACGGUAUAGAAUCAAUGCAUGCCUGAUGGAAGUGAGACAUUGCCUAGAGGUAUUGUUACUAGAACUUCUGAUUUGGAAAUGCGGCAGCUAUGGGGCCCUUCCAAAAAAAAGGUGGGGAUUUCCCUUGCGUAUUGAAUAGCUUGCUUUUCUUUACCGCUCCAAAUCAUACUUGUAGAAUUCGGUUUUUAUCUGUGUUUAGGUUACUUCGCUUUGCUUUAUCUGACCCUGCAAUGCUCUUUAUCCCUCUCUAGAAUUCAAAGUCACCAAUGAACUUGCUGGCCAUUGCAGUUGGACUAAAGCAGAAAGGAAAUGUAGAUCAAAUUGUUAAGAAGGUGAGGCUAAAUCUUCUUGGUUAAAGUAAAUCAAGUUUUAGUUUGUGUCUUACCAUCAACUAUAUCUGAUUUGCAGUUUCCCCCAGCUCAAUUUGUCGUUAUGCUUUUCCAUUAUGACGGCAAAGUGGAUGGUUGGAAAGACUUAGAAUGGAGUAGUAGUGCCAUCCAUGUUUCUGCUAUUAACCAAACUAAAUGGUACUAUUAGUUAUCACUUAUAUGUAACUAACCCUGCUAGUUUUGCCUCAUGUAAGAUACACAGAUUGUUGGUUUUAAGCAACAAGGUGUUUUUACUCUGUCUCCAUUCCUCAGGUGGUUUGCGAAGCGUUUCCUUCAUCCAGAUGUUGUUUCUGAGUAUGCAUAUAUCUUUCUGUGGGAUGAAGAUAUUGGAGUUGAAAAUUUUCGUGUUGGAAGGUAAUCUUAUUUUCAACUCUAUAAAUAGUAAAGCACACAAACAUAUCCAGUAAUCGAUAGGCCUGAAGAUGAUAUGUAUGACUUGCUUCGUAAGUUUGAUACUAUAGCUUUUGGCAAAUUUAAAUCAUACCACUAGAUUCUGACUGAACUUUAUUGAUAUAUUGUUACCAAAGAGUACCUGAGGAACAAAGCAAAUAUCUGAUAAGUAUUUGGACUUGUUAGAAUGGUGACAACAAUCUAUGAUUAAUAUUUGUAACUGAUAGUCAUUACUUCUAACGUGAUGCAGAUAUCUAUCAAUAAUUAAAGAAGAAGGGCUUCAAAUAUCACAACCAGCAAUUGAUCCUGAUAAGUCGGAGGUCCAUCACAAAAUCACAUCCAGGGAAAAGAGAUUAAAAGUGCAUCGGUACUACAUUUCAGUACUAAAAAGUUAUUAGAUUGGAAUUUAGUGGCAUACUGGCAUGUAUCUUGUCUAUGCUUGGAUUAUAUGUAUCUUUCCUGUCUUCAAUCAACAUAUGCUCACUGGUUUUAUUCUGUGAGCAGAAGGGCUGUUAACUUAAGAGGGACUGGGAGAAGGUGUUACGAAAAUAGCACAGAGCCUCCCUGCACUGGGUAUGGUAUAGUGCAUCAGAGAUAUUCUGCAGUAUUAUUUAUCAUUGAAAAAUUUUCAGAUAUUGAAACAGGUUCCUAUACAUCCAUUAGUUAUAAAAGAGGAAAUAUGAACACUUCUUAUACAUUGGCAGGUGGGUGGAAAUGAUGGCUCCUGUUUUUUCACGUGCAUCCUGGCGUUGUGCGUGGUACAUGAUUCAGGUAUGGCAUUUGUAGAUAUAUCAAGUCAUCCAGAAAUCAGUGUGUGGCAGCAUAACCAUUGAAUUUUGUUGAUUAUGCCAUCUAGAUUAGUUUUGAAUUAUUAUUAGCAGAAUUACUCUUGCAUGUUCAUGAUCGUGUUAUGCCAUAGAAAUACGACCUUUUCUUACUGUUGUUUUCAACAGAACGACUUAAUUCAUGCAUGGGGGUUGGAUUUCCAGCUUGGUUACUGUGCACAGGUUUGUCACUGUAUAACAGAUAACUUCCUCUUCUUUUCCUCUUUUUUUCCUCUGGUCUCCCAUAUUAUUGUCUCACACUCAUUGAUAUCUCAAACUUGCUAGCUAUUCCUUUGGUAGGGAAACCGAACUGCAAACAUUGGGAUUGUUGACUCAGAGUACGUUGUCCACUAUGGUCUUCCUACCCUAGGGGGUUCAGCAGUAAAUAAGGUACAAUAUAGCUGGUCAUUUGUAUUUUUUUAGUUCUUUGAAAAGAUUUUUAAUCUUAAAUCUGUGCUUAUUAGUGCCUACAUUUUGCACAUGAAUGCAACUCUUUUAGUCUCAAAGUAAAAGAAUGAUAAAACCAAACCUGUCAUCACAAGGUAAUAAUUAAAAAUCCAAGGCAUGUAAACCAUACAGCAGUGCAACUUAGCCAUUCAUGGCAAAGCAUCUAUCUUUGGAUAUUGAAUAUGUAUAAAAUGGAAAAGGUUCAAAGUUUGAUCUCAUACUAUGGAAUUUAGACAUUCUUUAAUUAAUUGAACAUUGCCACUGUGCUUUGCAAGAAAAUGGACCAGCAUUUUUCUGUUUGAUAUUAUGAAAUAUUAUUUGUUUGCAAGAUUUGAAUAAAGUGGAAGUAUGGGAGAACGGAUUUGUGGUGGGAACAAACUCUGUAGGAACUGUAAUAUCAUUACCUGCAGGUCUCUCUUGUCUUGAGAAAAUUGAGUUGUUCUUGAACAUUUGCAGACAAGUGAAGUACAGGGCCAAGCUUCGAAACAUGGUACCUCACCUGACAAAGGAUCCAUGGUAUGUUUGUGGACAUUUAUGAAAGGGCCAGUGGUACCUUUCUUAAACUUUCAUACAUCCUAAAUGUACUGCAAAUAUUUCAGGUUCCGUCUACAUCUCAUCCUUCUGAUGAUAGAGAUGCAGUAAGUAUCUUUUAACAUCUUUCUAGAAGAAGCUCUGCUAGUUCCUCACCUUGUGCUGCCCCUAAAUUGCGGUCAUAAUUUUUUGGCUGUGAGCUAUAUUCGUAUCUAUUGUACACAAACGUCCAUUUAUCCAACUUUUGCAGGUUCGAAAGCGAUCUUACGCCGAGUUAGAAAUUUUCAAGAACAGAUGGAAAAAGGCAGUGAGAGAAGACAAAUGCUGGAGUAAUCCGUUUCAGUAGCCUGCAAAGCAGAGCAGGGGACUUCGUCUAAUGGAUGCUGAUAGUUCAAGGGAAAUAUACACAUGGAAAAUUAACACUAUAAGCUUGUACCUAAAUUAUAUGUAUUGAUUAUAACAUCACUGAUGACAGGAAAAUUAUUUAUUCGUUAUAGCAUCACUAAUAAAACGCAAAGAACGAAUAGGAAAAUCAGACACGGGGUUUUUGUUGGAUCUUGACAUCCACGGCUUGAAGUGUAUACGGGGUUUUUCUGCACUCUUUGAAGCAGACAGACAGGGAUAAUAAUUUUCUCAAAUUAAUUCUUCAUCAAGUUACAUAUCUACAUUUAUGGUUCCAGAUACAGGAGUCAGAUCACUUUAUGGAGUUCCCGGAAGAUUAAACAACGCAGCUUCAGAAAUCCUGCAAAAUAAGACUUUACCGGCCAACAACUUGAGCAAUAAGUUGCGCCACCUCUUCCCCGCUAUCCUCCUGUACAUGGUGCCCUGCCUGCAAAGGCAAUGGAGUAACUGCAUUUUUUAGUCUUCCGGUCCGGAGUGAGACAGAACAUGGAGAUCAUAACUAAACAUGCUCAUGUUUAAAAAGACCAUUUACUUUCUUCUGAACUGCUCUAAUUGGCCAAGCAGUAUUGCAAUUUUGGGCGUAAUGUUGCUAGUCCACUGCAUGAAAUUACCAUUGGAAGUCUUAUAAGUCGGUGCUUCGAUUCUAUGCAGAAUUCCUCGACUCCGUUGUAGCUUAGCCAGCGGUCUCGUUCGCCCCAAAUGAUUGUUGUGUUAACUUGCCAGUUUUCGUCCAUUAGUAUCCUUCUCAUCUCUUCAAUGUAGGGCUAGGACGCACAAAGGAAAAUAAAUAAAACUUUUGGAACACAAAAUUCGAUCAAAAUAGUCAUUGCAUCACAAAUCUAAUUGUUUUUCCCGAGGAGCUGAAAUCAAUGCAAGAAACAUGAAGCCUUCGAAACAGAAAAAUGUUUUUCCAGUUAGCGCUCAAAAUAAACAAUGACAGAUGACCUAGAUCAAGAACUAGAGAAUAUGAAAAGGUCUAAUUUAUUCUCAAGGCGCUUAAUUUAGAUGUCCCUUGCUUUUAAGUAUUGUGAAAUAGAGAUCUCUUUAUUUAUGCAUUCCAAGAAGUGGAUAAACUGUUACAUGCAUUAAGAAGUAGCAAACCCAACAAAUUUCCAUAUACUAAGAGCUGCUGGCCAUUUCCAUAUUUUAAUUUGUGAGAAAAAAGAGUGCACCUUAAGUUCUUUCUUCAUGGCCCUGCUAAUUGCAUUUAGUGCAAAUCCUGCAGAACCAGACGUGAGGUAAGGUCUCCUAUAAACCAUUGCGACGUCUUCUUUUAUUACGUAUGGGCCACAGCUUGUCAGGGCCUUAUCACUGGCUCUUAGAGGAUCCUGUUGACAGAGAAGUUGCAGUCACUGAAGUGAAACCAAGAAGCUGAUGUUUGCAUAGACUGUAACAUGGGCUCGGCUGGAAUGAUAACAGUCUCACUAACUUUUGUGGUAUCCAUACCUGAGAAAAAAUUUCCCCCAACAGAAAGUUGCUGAAUAUGGAUAAUGUGGACGGGAGAUUGGCAUGCUUGGCUGUGAGCUUUAGAAAGCAGAAACAAGAAUUCAUGAGAGACCUGCUAAGAUCCAUGAACUAAUAAUGAUGAUUGGUCUAUGGACAUCCUACUGUACAUAGAGAUACACGGACAGAGAUGCAUAAUUGCAGAUUCUCUUUGUGUUCUUAGGACACAAUGACAGAAGGAAACAUUAGAAAUCAACAGUAGAUUGGCAAAUAUUUCCAUACUGGAGGGUUGAGAAGUAUGAGAUCAGUAAUCUUUUCUUGACGACUGCUAGCAUAUUUGACCACAACAGGCGAAAAGUAGCCCUACAAAGGAAGUCCAUAAACCAAAAUUUCAAACCAAAUGCACAGAAUUUGAUAUAGAAUUUCUGCUGAGCAUUGGUCAUACAAAUUCUUCAAAAGUUAAGUACCUGGACAACUAGUGUGGCUUUACCCUUGGUGGUUUCAUCUAUAAUAGAUUCCAAGGAUGUCGUAUAUUCUGCAACCAUACAAGGCAUACAAUAGUUUGAGCAGACAGAAUCCAUCUUCAAUGUUACCAAGUUCAAUUUCUUUGUAAGGACAAAAAUAAGUGAUUUUCUCCCUGGGUUCUGAAUGCAAGUACCAUCCAGAGUGUAGUCAAAACCAUAUCUAGGUUGGGGCUUAUCAGAAAAUCCAAAUCCUGCAAGUCCAAGGAGCAUAACAAUUUUGUCAAACUUUAGCUCAUAAUCAAGAUAUUCUGUAAUAACUUCAUUGGCUCAGCAAGCAAAAAAGCAUUGGAAUAGGCAAUGCAGUUGAUUCAACUAGGAUGCAGCAUUUAUCAUAGUGCUAAUAUAAAACCAAUUUGGGAAAAACAAUACAACUGCAGGAAGCUUAGAAGAAGACAAUAUUCAAAAUUCAAGAAAGUAAAUCCUCAACCUCUGUUUGUACUGAAAGCAAAGACGUGAAGCUUACCAAGCCAAUCAAAUGCAAUAGCAUGAUAUUUCUUUGAAAGUAUUGGAAGGACUUUGCGGUAGGAAUAUGCCUGUAUCAGAAAAAAGUGAGCAUGGACGUCAAGUUUACGUGAGGAUUUUAAUAUCAAUCUACUUGUUACAAGGAAGUAAUUGCAUCAGUUGAGAACUCUUUCCACCAAAAAACACAAGGAUUGACUGAAAAAGUUGAUUUCAGAGAAACUGGUAACUAUUCCUCCGACUAAUAUUUUCACACUUUAUAGCAAGAAAACUGCUACCUAUAAAGUAAGAUGAGGCAGUGGGUUAAGAAACAAAUUCAGGCCUGGAAUUUGCAUUUUCCUUCAGUCUCAUUCUUGGGGGCACUUAUAUAGGUUACAUAACAUUUGUAUGAUCUGUAGUACUUGUACAAGACAAGCAUUUGGAUGAUCUGUAGUUUUCUAGAGUGUACAGAAUGAGUGUAAUUGAACACUAACCUGUGAAGGAAAACCAUGAAUUAACACAAUGGGAUGAUUGUCAGCACUUCCGCUGUCAACGCAAAACCAUCUAUUGUACAAAAUCAUAUACAGAGAGAGCAUGUUUCAAUCGGUAAUCCCUGCAAACAAUCCAUCCAAUAAAACAAUAUUCUGCAUAAGAUCGAGAGCUAUUCCCGUUACAGUGCUUAGCCAUGUUGUUUUUGCCUCCUUACCACACACUUUUGUACAAACUAGAGACUUUUCGAAGUUACCUGAAAAGAUCAGAUGAGGUUUGUGAACCACCUCCCAUUGCAAGACCAAAGAUGGGAUCCUUGGCCUUGUCACCAGUACCCCCAACAGGAUGUGCUUUUACCUGUAUCAGCAACAAGCAUUACCAGGUUUUGAAAUUUGAAGGGGUACUAAAGAUUCUAACUCUAAACGUGAUGGCCGGGAUUAUUAUGCCAAUUUCCGACAGGAAGAAGAGAUUAGAAACAUGCUGACUUUAAAAGAGAGCAUACAAUCUUUCCUUGCUCGAACCAUUCAUCAGCUGGACUUGGCUCAUCCGAAUAUUUUCCUAUGCAGAAGAAAACAAUAGCCAAUUCCUACUAGAACCAUUAGUUUAGUUCAAUAUAGCUUUUUGAUUGAUAUUCACGAAAGAGGGGAUGCAUCCAGAGUCAAUUUUAGAUUUUACCUCCACUAAAAGAAAAGCCAUCUCCUACUGAAACAGGAGCAUCCAAGUAAUAAUCCUGAACGAGCAUUGACAAACAAACUAAAUGAAUAAAUAGGAACUCUUGAACCAUGCAUAAUAAAAUGCCAAAUGAAGCACGGGACAAAUGCUGUACUGUACGGCUGUACCUCGUUGCUCUCAUCAUUGCUUGACCGGCAAAAAAGUAGGGAAUGCUUCUGCUUCUUCUUCUUGAGGAUACCUUGGGGCAUUAUUGUUGGUUUGAGAAACUGGUCUGAAGGGGAUGCAAUGGGAGAAAGACGGAGCAGUUGCAGGCUGCAGAGAGAAAGCAGAGAAGAAGAAGAAGAGCAGAGCUGCAGAGCCAUGAAAAGAUGCAGGGAAAUUCCAGAAGUCCAAGCAAAGAAAUUACUAAAGAGUAGGGGAUUUGAUUAAUGAUAGGAAGCGAGUGCUUCAGAGUUCAGAGUUAAUAUUGGCGGCUGUGACAGUUAUAUCUUUCGGGCAAAGUUUUUGCCUGCUACAAGCUGUGCCAAAAAUCGGUAGUAUGACUGGAUAUGGUGAAGCCAACAGCCCAACCAAUCUCUUGGACUUUGAUCAUCAAGACACCUUUAAAGUUUCGGCCGAAGUUGAAGGUCAAGGUUUAGUUCUUGCCUCCCACCAGCCACUAGGUGUGGUUUUCCCUUCCUUUCCCUUAGAUUAGAUUAGGAGUGUGCAUCGAAAUCGAUAAUUCGAAAAUUUGAAUUCGGAAUUUUUCGAAAUUUUGAUAUCUGAUAAUUCGACUGAAUUUGAUUUCGAAUUUACCAAUUCCGAAUUCGAAUUCGUACCGAAUUCAAUUUGGAAUUAGGUAAAUUUCGAUUUCACCGAAUUCGGAAAAAAUUAUAUAUUAUUAUAUAAUAUAAAAUUAUAUUAUAUUAUAUUAUAUAAAUUUUAUAUAAUAUUAUAUAGUAUAAAUUUUAUAUUACAUGUAUAAAAAAUAUAUUUAUAUAUUAAAAACGAAUUUGAAAUCAAAAUCGGAAUUCGAAUUCCGAUUUCGAAUUGUGAAUUCGAAAUCGAAAAUUCCGAUUUGAAAAAACUCCAUUAUCGAAUUCGAACCAAAUUCGAAAUAUAUGAAUUCGGAAAACCCGAAUUCGAUUCCGAUUUUCAAUUUACCGAUUUCGAAAAUUCCGAAUUCAAUUCGAAUUCGAUUGAUAAAUUGGAAUUUUUCGAUUUUGCACACCCCUAGAUUAGACUAGAAUAAAUUAUAUAAACUAUUAUUUUUAUGAGCCAAAAAAAAAAAGACUGGAUAUGGUGAAGGUUCUUCUUCUUCCUUUUUUUUUUUUUUUUGUUAAUAGAUAGGAGAUUUCUGGUUCUCAAUUGUUUAGAAACAGCAACAUCAUAGUACUGGCGAAAGACCUAACGUAAUUGUUAAACAACAGGAGGGGUAGCAUUAUUUGGUUUAUUCGUUGAUCCUUGAUCCUUUAUCAAAUUGAAUUACAAUCAUUUGCCCUUUUGAUCCUUUAUCUCAUGCAAGGCCAGAAUCAAUUCAAAUUUAUCAUAAAAGAGUUCCAUGGUACAAUAAAAGGUUUAUGAGUCACAUCGUUUCUGUCUAAGGAAAAAACAACGAACAUUUCCUAUCGUUUGCCAAAUAUAAAUAUUUUUUUAGAAGAAAUUUGGAUGGAUUCAGUUUCGAUUAUCAUCACGGAUCAGAACAUAUCAAAUAUAAAAAUGAUAUGCGUUGAUAUUUCCCCUAACUGUUGUUGUCCGCUAGUAAGUUUUGCCCGUCCGUGUAACCUUUAGAGUAUCUCUUAAAUAUUUAAAAAAAAAAAUCUUUCGCGUGACUCUACUCAAUUUUGUGAAAGUUCAUACUACAAACUACAUAAAUUUACUUCCAUAGCAUUGUAAAACAAUAAUACCAACAAAGGACUCAACAUAAGUUGAUUAAUUCAGUAAGGUAAAUAAAUACCUUUAUGAGCAACAUAUAAUAAUAUUAUUAAGAGUAUAUCUCGAUCCAUGGUUGAUCUUCAACUAUGAAUCUUCAGAGUGUAUUUUCUUGUUGAUCUUGGCAUGUAGAUUAUACUCGAUGUAAAAGAUCAAGAACGGCAAAAUUCAUCAGGCAUCAUCAAUGUCAAUUGUACAAAUGAUUAAUCCCUUAAUAUAAAUAUACAACUUUCAUUUUCCAUCGAGGAAUCAAAAUAGUUACAACAUCAAAAAAAUUACUUAAUGUAGUAAGGAAGGUCAAGGACAUAGAGAAGGAAGUAAGCCCAGAUGACACCAGAGAUCCCACCAAAGAAGAACCCUCCACUGAACUUAGCCCAU
RNAcentral lists this long non-coding RNA (37676 nucleotides) under Coffea arabica (coffee). RNAcentral describes it as "long non-coding RNA (CARA_LNC000366)". The record is from RNAcentral. Lineage: Eukaryota; Viridiplantae; Streptophyta; Magnoliopsida; Gentianales; Rubiaceae.